UACGUAGGGGGCAAGCGUUGUCCGGAUUUAUUGGGCGUAAAGAGCGUGUAGGCGGCUAUACAGGUCCGUUGUGAAAACUGGAGGCUUAACCUCCAGACGUCGAUGGAAACCGUAUGGCUAGAGUCCGGAAGAGGAGAGUGGAAUUCCUGGUGUAGCGGUGAAAUGCGCAGAUAUCAGGAGGAACACCGGUGGCGAAGGCGGUUCUCUGGGCAUGUUCUGACGCUGAGGAGCGAAAGUGUGGGGAGCGAACAGG
This 253-nucleotide ribosomal RNA is filed under the name uncultured bacterium. RNAcentral's name for it is "partial 16S ribosomal RNA". It matches the Rfam family "Bacterial small subunit ribosomal RNA", at positions 524 to 776 of the family's 1533-position model. The record is from RNAcentral.